UGUUCUCUAAAUAAGGACUAGUAUCAACGGCAUCACGAGGGCUAUACUGUCUCCUUUCUCCAAUCAGUGAAACUGAUCCCCCCGUGAAGAAGCGGGGAUUCAAUUAUAAGACGAGAAGACCCCAUGGAGCUUUAAACCCAACAUACACCCACCCCGCUAAUACAUCAACUAAGCCUCGAGGGCCUGUACGUCGGUUUUAGGCUGGGGGGACCACGGAGCAAAAUCAAACCUCCACAACAAAUGGGCUAAAACCCUUAUCCGCGAUUUACAAAUCCAAGAAUCAUCAUAAUGAUGUUUAAUGACCCGAUAAUUCGAUCAAUGAACCAAGUUACCCUGGGGAUAACAGCGCAAUCCACUCCAAGAGCCCAUAUCGACAAGUGGGUUUACGACCUCGAUGUUGGAUCAGGGUAUCCCAGUGGUGCAGCCGCUA
RNAcentral lists this ribosomal RNA (430 nucleotides) under Odorrana chloronota. RNAcentral describes it as "partial 16S rRNA". It matches the Rfam family "Bacterial large subunit ribosomal RNA", at positions 1970 to 2564 of the family's 2925-position model. The record is from RNAcentral. Lineage: Eukaryota; Metazoa; Chordata; Amphibia; Anura; Ranidae.